Long non-coding RNA from Poeciliopsis prolifica (blackstripe livebearer), 310 nucleotides. RefSeq lists it as uncharacterized. The record is from RefSeq and is a predicted model, not a curated record. The transcript is spliced from 3 exons. Lineage: Eukaryota; Metazoa; Chordata; Actinopteri; Cyprinodontiformes; Poeciliidae.
UAACCAUUAGCAACCAUGUCCAUUAGCAAGAUUAGCAUGUUUACAGCCAAUUAUGUCACUAUGAUGAUGGAAAAUUCACCAACGUAUUUAAAGCAUUGGGACAAGUGCAAUAAAACGUUUGGAACACCCAGACACUGAGUCUGUUUCACUUGUUCAUCUGAACGGCUGAAAAUGUCUAACCCUAACCCUAACCCAGUCAGGAUCAGUGGCGUAAGAAGACACGAUACCUAGGAAAUGAGGCGCCAGCAUCACCUUACUAUGCAUUCGACACUGAAGCAAACACAAUUUGAUCCCCAGAUGAUCAUGUUUC